GAUGGACGCUAGCGGGAGGCCUAACACAUGCAAGCCGAGCGGUAGAGUCUCUUCGGAGACUUGAGAGCGGCGCACGGGUGCGGAACACGUGUGCAACCUGCCUUUAUCUGGGGGAUAGCCUUUCGAAAGGAAGAUUAAUACCCCAUAAUAUACUGGAUGGCAUCAUCUGGUAUUGAAAACUCCGGUGGAUAGAGAUGGGCACGCGCAAGAUUAGAUAGUUGGUGAGGUAACGGCUCACCAAGUCAGCGAUCUUUAGGGGGCCUGAGAGGGUGAUCCCCCACACUGGUACUGAGACACGGACCAGACUCCUACGGGAGGCAGCAGUGAGGAAUAUUGGACAAUGGGUGAGAGCCUGAUCCAGCCAUCCCGCGUGAAGGACGACGGCCCUAUGGGUUGUAAACUUCUUUUGUAUAGGGAUAAACCUAGAUACGUGUAUCUAGCUGAAGGUACUAUACGAAUAAGCACCGGCUAACUCCGUG
This 479-nucleotide ribosomal RNA is filed under the name uncultured bacterium. RNAcentral describes it as "partial 16S ribosomal RNA". It matches the Rfam family "Bacterial small subunit ribosomal RNA", at positions 28 to 507 of the family's 1533-position model. The record is from RNAcentral.